AUGAACGCUGGCGGCGUGCCUAAUACAUGCAAGUCGAGCGAACAGACGAGGAGCUUGCUCCUCUGACGUUAGCGGCGGACGGGUGAGUAACACGUGGAUAACCUACCUAUAAGACUGGGAUAACUUCGGGAAACCGGAGCUAAUACCGGAUCAUAUAUUGAACCGCAUGGUUCAAUAGUGAAAGACGGUUUUGCUGUCACUUAUAGCUGGAUCCGCGCCGCAUUAGCUAGUUGGUAAGGUAACGGCUUACCAAGGCAACGAUGCGUAGCCGACCUGAGAGGGUGAUCGGCCACACUGGAACUGAGACACGGUCCAGACUCCUACGGGAGGCAGCAGUAGGGAAUCUUCCGCAAUGGGCGAAAGCCUGACGGAGCAACGCCGCGUGAGUGAUGAAGGUCUUCGGAUCGUAAAACUCUGUUAUUAGGGAAGAACAAAUGUGUAAGUAACUAUGCACGUCUUGACGGUACCUAAUCAGAAAGCCACGGCUAACUACGUG
This 496-nucleotide ribosomal RNA is filed under the name uncultured bacterium. RNAcentral's name for it is "partial 16S ribosomal RNA". It matches the Rfam family "Bacterial small subunit ribosomal RNA", at positions 29 to 507 of the family's 1533-position model. The record is from RNAcentral.